UUAUGGCCACAUCACGUUGAAAACUGGUUUUCGUACGAUCACCGAAGUUAAGCAACAUCGAGCCUGGUCAGUACCUAGAUAGGUGAUCGCUUUGAAAUGCCAGGUGCU
Molecule: ribosomal RNA, 108 nt
Filed under: Acanthosepion pharaonis
Lineage: Eukaryota; Metazoa; Mollusca; Cephalopoda; Sepiida; Sepiidae
Source: RNAcentral